This 1008-nucleotide ribosomal RNA is filed under the name Pyrenochaetopsis tabarestanensis. RNAcentral's name for it is "SSU rRNA". It matches the Rfam family "Eukaryotic small subunit ribosomal RNA", at positions 75 to 1092 of the family's 1831-position model. The record is from RNAcentral. Lineage: Eukaryota; Fungi; Ascomycota; Dothideomycetes; Pleosporales; Pyrenochaetopsidaceae.
UAUACCGUGAAACUGCGAAUGGCUCAUUAAAUCAGUUAUCGUUUAUUUGAUAGUACCUUACUACUUGGAUAACCGUGGUAAUUCUAGAGCUAAUACAUGCUGAAAACCCCAACUUCGGGAGGGGUGUAUUUAUUAGAUAAAAAACCAACGCCCUUCGGGGCUUCUUGGUGAUUCAUGAUAACUUUACGGAUCGCAUGGCCUUGCGCCGGCGACGGUUCAUUCAAAUUUCUGCCCUAUCAACUUUCGAUGGUAAGGUAUUGGCUUACCAUGGUUUCAACGGGUAACGGGGAAUUAGGGUUCGAUUCCGGAGAGGGAGCCUGAGAAACGGCUACCACAUCCAAGGAAGGCAGCAGGCGCGCAAAUUACCCAAUCCCGACACGGGGAGGUAGUGACAAUAAAUACUGAUACAGGGCUCUUUUGGGUCUUGUAAUUGGAAUGAGUACAAUUUAAACCUCUUAACGAGGAACAAUUGGAGGGCAAGUCUGGUGCAGCAGCCGCGGGUAAUUCCAGCUCCAAUAGCGUAUAUUAAAGUUGUUGCAGUUAAAAAGCUCGUAGUUGAAACUUGGGUCUGGCUGGCAGGUCCGCCUCACCGCGUGUACUUGUCCGGCCGGGCCUUCCUUCUGGAGAACCUCAUGCCCUUCACUGGGCGUGUUGGGGACCAGGACUUUUACUUUGAAAAAAUUAGAGUGUUCAAAGCAGCCCUUGCUUCGAAUACGUUAGCAUGGAAUAAUAGAAUAGGACGUGCGGUUCUAUUUUGUUGGUUUCUAGGACCGCCGUAAUGAUUAAUAGGGACAGUCGGGGGCAUCAGUAUUCAAUUGUCAGAGGUGAAAUUCUUGGAUUUAUUGAAGACUAACUACUGCGAAAGCAUUUGCCAAGGAUGUUUUCAUUAAUCAGUGAACGAAAGUUAGGGGAUCGAAGACGAUCAGAUACCGUCGUAGUCUUAACCGUAAACUAUGCCGACUAGGGAUCGGGCGAUGUUCUUUUUUUUGACUCGCUCGGCACCUUACG